RNAcentral lists this ribosomal RNA (252 nucleotides) under uncultured bacterium. Its description in RNAcentral is "partial 16S ribosomal RNA". It matches the Rfam family "Bacterial small subunit ribosomal RNA", at positions 524 to 775 of the family's 1533-position model. The record is from RNAcentral.
UACAGAGGGUGCGAGCGUUGUUCGGAAUUAUUGGGCGUAAAGGGUGCGUAGGCGGUGCCACAAGUCACUUGUGAAAUCCCCGGGCUUAACCUGGGAACUGCAUUUGUGACUGGCGAGCUAGAGUAUGGCAGAGGGGGGUAGAAUUCCACGUGUAGCAGUGAAAUGCGUAGAGAUGUGGAGGAAUACCGAUGGCGAAGGCAGCCCCCUGGGCCAAUACUGACGCUCAUGCACGAAAGCGUGGGGAGCAAACAG